GCGGAAGCCUGAUGCAGCAACGCCGCGUGAGGGAUGACGGCCUUCGGGUUGUAAACCUCUUUUAGCAGGGAAGAAGCGAGAGUGACGGUACCUGCAGAAAAAGCGCCGGCUAACUACGUGCCAGCAGCCGCGGUAAUACGUAGGGCGCAAGCGUUAUCYGGAAUUAUUGGGCGUAAAGAGCUCGUAGGCGGUCUGUCGCGUCUGCUGUGAAAACCCGAGGCUCAACCUCGGGCCUGCAGUGGGUACGGGCAGACUAGAGUGCGGUAGGGGAGAUUGGAAUUCCUGGUGUAGCGGUGGAAUGCGCAGAUAUCAGGAGGAACACCGAUGGCGAAGGCAGAUCUCUGGGCCGUAACUGACGCUGAGGAGCGAAAGGGUGGGGAGCAAACAGGCUUAGAUACCCUGGUAGUCCACCCCGUAAACGUUGGGAACUAGUUGUGGGGACCUUUCCACGGUCUCCGUGACGCAGCUAACGCAUUAAGUCCCCGCCUGGG
This 491-nucleotide ribosomal RNA is filed under the name Microbacterium marinilacus. RNAcentral describes it as "bacterial SSU rRNA". It matches the Rfam family "Bacterial small subunit ribosomal RNA", at positions 375 to 877 of the family's 1533-position model. Lineage: Bacteria; Bacillati; Actinomycetota; Actinomycetes; Micrococcales; Microbacteriaceae. The record is from RNAcentral.